GAGAAAAUUUAUGGAUUUCAAGUAAUCAAGCAAUCAAAGGUGGUGAAUCCUCAAAUAAAGGCAAGAAAAUUGUACCCGAGAAUCGAUAGUCGAAGUACUCUAAAAAUUUGACUUCUGAAAUAGCUCAGAAUAGGCUGUAGAUAGCUGAUUCCAUUGAGGC
Molecule: non-coding RNA, 160 nt
Organism: Theobroma cacao (cacao)
Lineage: Eukaryota; Viridiplantae; Streptophyta; Magnoliopsida; Malvales; Malvaceae
Source: RefSeq, a predicted model, not a curated record